This 254-nucleotide ribosomal RNA is filed under the name uncultured bacterium. Its description in RNAcentral is "partial 16S ribosomal RNA". It matches the Rfam family "Bacterial small subunit ribosomal RNA", at positions 524 to 777 of the family's 1533-position model. The record is from RNAcentral.
UACGAAGGGGGCUAGCGUUGCUCGGAAUUACUGGGCGUAAAGCGCACGUAGGCGGUCUUUUAAGUCGGGGGUGAAAUCCUGGAGCUCAACUCCAGAACUGCCUUUGAUACUGAAGAUCUUGAGUUCGGGAGAGGUGAGUGGAACUGCGAGUGUAGAGGUGAAAUUCGUAGAUAUUCGCAAGAACACCAGUGGCGAAGGCGGCUCACUGGCCCGAUACUGACGCUGAGGCACGAAAGCGUGGGGAGCAAACAGGG